CUGCAAGUCCUCUGUCUUGAUAAACCGGUUCUGUCUAGGCAGUGAGCAAGGUGAAGCCAUUGGGCAGUUACAUCCCUAGUGGAACUAGAUGAUUUGUUCCUGUCUCCUUAAGGGCCACACCCUUAGCACUUUUUUUUUUAGACAGCGUCUCUCUCUUUCACCCAGACUGGAGUGCUGUGGCACAACCUUGGCUCACUGCAACCUCCGCCUCCCGGGUUCAAGCAAUUCUCGUGCCUCUGGCUCCCAAGAGGCUGAGGCAGGAGAAUCAUUUGAGCCCGGGAAGCAGAAGUUGCAGUGAGCCAAGAUUGUGCCACUGUACUCCAGCCUGGGCGAGAGUGAGACCUGUCUUAAAACAAAAACAAAACAAAACAAGUAACAAAAAGGUCUAGGCAAGAGAGCUUAUUUCAGAUUGACUUGCUGCCCGUCUUUCUCUAAACUGUCUCUCCAUUGUCAAAUAUAUUCAGACCUAAAAUUAACUGAGUCUGGGUGUAUUAUACCAGGCUCUACCACUUAUACCCAACAGUCAAU
RNAcentral lists this long non-coding RNA (528 nucleotides) under Homo sapiens (human). RNAcentral describes it as "HSALNT0067572". Lineage: Eukaryota; Metazoa; Chordata; Mammalia; Primates; Hominidae. The record is from RNAcentral.